RNAcentral lists this ribosomal RNA (780 nucleotides) under uncultured Neocallimastigales. RNAcentral describes it as "partial large subunit ribosomal RNA". It matches the Rfam family "Eukaryotic large subunit ribosomal RNA", at positions 23 to 615 of the family's 3401-position model. Lineage: Eukaryota; Fungi; Neocallimastigomycota; Neocallimastigomycetes; Neocallimastigales. The record is from RNAcentral.
GAGACUCUGUGCGCGUGCAUAUCAAUAAGCGGAGGAAAAGAAACUAACAAGGAUUCCCUUAGUAACGGCGAGUGAAGCGGGAAGAGCUCAAAUUUGAAAUCUUCAAGGUUCUACCUUGACGAAUUGUAGUUUAAAGAAGUGUUUUCUGUUGAAGUUUUGGUAAAAGUUCUUUGGAAUAGGACAUCAUAGAGGGUGAGAAUCCCGUAUUUGACCAUUACUUUUCCAGCUGUGUGAUACACUUUCAAAGAGUCGGAUUGUUUGGGAAUGCAGUCCAAAAUGGGUGGUAAAUUUCAUCUAAAGCUAAAUAUUGGCGAGAGACCGAUAGCGAACAAGUACCGUGAGGGAAAGAUGAAAAGAACUUUGAAAAGAGAGUUAAACAGUACGUGAAAUUGUCAAAAGGGAAGCGUUUGACACCAGUGUUGUUUUCUCGAAAAUCAAUUAAAAAUGGCUGGAUUUUGUGUUGUAUUGACCUUAAAAGCUUUCUUCACUCUUUUCAUGUCUUUUUUAAUGCACUUUUCGUUUAACAAGUCAACAUCAGUUUCUUUUGUUGUAAAAAGGGUCAUUGGAAGGUGGCUUUCUUUUCGGAGAAAGUGUUUAUAGCCUUUGACUCUCUGCAAUCGGAGAGACUGAGGUCUGCAGCGUAGAUCCUUCUUGGGAUUAGAUUACAUUUGUGCUAAGUUAUAGCUUUUUAUAGACAACUUGUUGACUAUAUUUAGUCUUGUAGCUUACUCGCUUAUGCAAUUUUACCUACGCUUAGGAUGUUGAACUCUAUCACACACA